GAAAUGUAAAUAAGAUACAAUUGUUGUAAUUGACACUUUUUACAUUUUUUUUAUUUAUUUGGACCAUCUAAGCUAGUACCAAACCAAAGGUCACCAGCAUAAAGGUUGGACAAGCAUGGAAAUGAGAGCCUCCUCCAGCUCUUCUUGGUUUGUUUGAUAAAUACAAGAUACAGAUAAAGCUGACAGACUCGCAGCAGCUUCAUCAGGAUUCUUCCCUCCGUUGAAAAGACUAUGAAGGACAUGCGGAGCUGGGGGCUGAAGACAGAACAUAAUAGAUACGAACUCUGCUUCAAAACAGCUCUGAGGCUUUGGAACAUCUGGCCCUGCUGGUGAAAAGGUUCAGUACAUUAAGCACCCAAAAAACCCUGAACGCUACCUCUUACCUUCACCUCAUGACACCCGAUAUCUUCAAUAUUCUAGGCUUUCCUAUAGAACAAUGACCUAAAAUAACUCGAAACUGUUGUAUUUGUUCUUGAACUGAAUAUACUAAUUAUAAUAUGCAACCAAACCCAGUGCAAA
Carassius carassius (crucian carp) is the source of this 519-nucleotide long non-coding RNA. RefSeq lists it as uncharacterized. The transcript is spliced from 3 exons. Lineage: Eukaryota; Metazoa; Chordata; Actinopteri; Cypriniformes; Cyprinidae. The record is from RefSeq and is a predicted model, not a curated record.